RNAcentral lists this microRNA (22 nucleotides) under Human gammaherpesvirus 8. Its description in RNAcentral is "miR-K4". Lineage: Duplodnaviria; Heunggongvirae; Peploviricota; Herviviricetes; Herpesvirales; Orthoherpesviridae. The record is from RNAcentral.
CCUAGAGUACUGCGGUUUAGCU